This 3911-nucleotide long non-coding RNA is filed under the name Xyrichtys novacula (pearly razorfish). The record is from RNAcentral. Lineage: Eukaryota; Metazoa; Chordata; Actinopteri; Labriformes; Labridae.
UCAACUUGAACAACGCCUUUUAUUUUGGCAUCUUUGAAAACUACUCCAUGAACGGCAGUUUCAGACUGAAGAAUGACGAGAAAUGUAAGGAUUCAGGAUGGAUGUUAGCCCCUCGAGCUCAGCCAGAGGAGGGAGGACAGAGGACACACAGGGCUGCAUGACAGGAAGUAUGUUGAUCGAUUGGCAACAUAAUCCAUUGGGCAUGGUUCGGACAUCAUUUGGAUUAAUGUUAUCCUCUGCUCAUUGAUCAAACGGUAAUAGACUUUUUCCCACAGGUGGAUUUCCGCUGCCUCUCCUGUGCUGACCCUGUGCAACCCUCUGUAUCUUCCUCCCCCUCUGUUUUUCUUCCCUUGCAGUUUUGGUUUGUGAGUUUGCGUCUCUGAGAAUCAUUCAACACGUUCUGUGGAGCAGAAGAACAAAACAAAAGCUCACCCAUAGUUGCACAAUUUUUACACACAGCACACUUGGAGGGGAAUGCAAAGACCUCAGGCCGACAGAACAACAACAACAAAAAGACAAAAAGGAAAGAAAAGCAGGUUUGUGUUUGGGAGAAACAUCUGAGCUCAGCUGCAGAGACAGGAGAGGCAUCAAAACAAACCAGCUUGUUCUCCACAGGCAAACGUUGUAUACACUGCUGUACAUGCUAACUCAAUAUUAUCCUCAAACAUGAUUUUUUUUUGCCCUUUUCAUAGAAAAACACACACUGAUGUACAUAAUACAAAAUUUUCUCCUUUUUGCAAAAGAGCAGUUUCUCUUUAGUCAGUGCGUACCCUCUGAUGCUCACAGACGUGGUUAUGUAUACAGUAUUUACAUAUACAACCGUAUAAAAAUCUGUAUUUCUCUUGUGUACAUGUAUUCAAAAAUCAAACACAUCAGAUCGGUUCAUUUUGUUGUGAAAUAUUUCUUAAAGUCCUUUAAUAUACAGCAACAGAGAAGCUAAGAGGCAGCAAGGAGGCUGGAACACCUGACUCUUCAAAAGGAUCAGACGCUUAAAAUAUUCAAACCGAAGCAAAUAAAUGCUGUGAAAUGCUGUGAGUGUUUAUCACAAGCUGCUCGGCAGAAAGAUUGAAUUUCUGCCACAUGAUCUGCACAAAUUACUGAUUAACUCAUUGCAUCUUUCAGCUUUCUCUGUUGAAAAUCUGGUGCCUCAAAAUGUAAGAUUUAAAUAUAAAAAUUCCCGAUGUUAUCCAGCAGAUAUUUUCCAGCAUGUCAAAUUUAACGUUCAAUACAGCUUAGGUCCUAAACAUAUGAACCCUUAUUUUUGGUGUAAAACUGCUUUAUUCUGUGUUUUCUUCAAUUUUCUCACCAUUUGCAUUUCUUUUAAGGAGAAAAGGAUCUUUCAGUCAUCGGUUAAACCUCUUUAACACAUGCACUUUUGCAAUUUACCUAAAAAAUUUCUGGAGCACGACCUGUAUUAUCUAUCAAAGUUGCUUGUUCAUGUAUCCCUUUCACAGCCUUCAGUGUUUCCUGUCAUAUUCUGUCAAUAUCGAGAAAAACAGAAUAAAAGCGUGCUGUGACAACCACAGUGUGACGUUAACAACAUGAUGCUGAGUGUAGCGACAGAUAUCUAAAAUAUGACGGAUGUGCAGAAACCUCCACUGCGCUCGUUUUUGAGAAAUUACCUGCUUGCUUGUCAUAAAUUUGCUUGAAUUUUUCCUGUUGCAUUCUCACAUCAGCUCAUCCUGACCUCUUACAGAAGUGUGCAUGUGUGAAUACAGCUUUUGUUACGCUACUGACCGUUCAUUGUUCUUCCCAUGAUGCAAAAGUGCAGAUCCUUUUCAUCCUGGAAAAAUCCAAGACAAAUUCAGGAACCUUUUUACUCACAUUUUGAAUUCUCAAAAACUAAAAUAAAAACGUGUUUCUAAGUUUUGGAUAAUAUAUUCAGUUUAAAAAGGGAAACUGUGUCCAUGUGUUCUCUCUGUACUUGUUUGGAUUUAACCCGACUGUUGGACAUAAAUGUUACGGAGUAUUUCAGCAAAGAAUUGAAGUUUAUGCUCACUUCCCUGAGCCGCAUUUUGACAUUUAUAAACACCAGAUUUGCACUUUUUAAGAUAAUAAAUCUGUUUUUUGAUAAAGAAGCUUGUGAUAAUCAGUGGAGUCAUCAGUGCUAUCAAAAUCCACAGGGUCACUCAGAAACAAUAAUAAAAACACAUGUUUUCACACAGGUUAUUUGAGAAUGAAAACAAAAGAACAUGCACGUCAUCUCAGCCUGAAAACUAAAGUGGUUAUUGGAAAAAAAAAAGAAAAAAAAAGCUCCAUCCUUCAUCAGAGUCAGGUGUUGCUGCAGUCAGAUGUGGCUGAAGGUCUUUGCAUUCACACAGAGGGAGACGUUUGUGGAUGGGAUGGAAGUGAACAGAAAUCGGAGAUGUUACUCGUUGAUGCUAAAGAAAGUCUCUGGGAUGUGCUUCUUCUUGCCACGAGUGCAUGGACAUAAGGCACAGGCACAGUUCCCCUCCGUUGCAGAGCGGCUCGCGUUUUUGUUCGUCUGAAUUGGCCUUUUUUUGAAUAAUGCCCCAGAGCUGAAACAGGUAGGGUGAUCACCGAGGUUCAAGCUGCUCAUUUCGCACAAUUGGGUCGAUACAUAGAUCUCGCCGUUUGAAACAAAAGGAUACUGCAGGGUUUGGUUUGGUGAUUUUGGCAGAAAGAGACAUGGUCCAAAUAUAAUUAAGGAUGUUCCUGUAUCAACUCAACAUUUAAACGCUGGCACCAGAAUUAGUGGUGCUUAAUUGUUAAUAAGAUGUUGCUCUAAGUUCUAGCACUAGAGGGGGCUGUAGCUCCUGUUAAAGGCUGCUGCCAUGAUGCUUCAACGCUUUACAACCUGGAUGUAAACAAGCACAGGUGUUGGAUUGCAUCUCACAGCAUGGCUUGCAAUUAUAGUGGAGUCUUCGUAAGAAGCUGAUCCACCUCGACUUAUAUGCCCUUUAAUACAGAAAAAGGUGCAGGAGACAGAGAAUUGGACGCUUUGUAAGUAACUUUUCUCUUAACAACCGAGUCAGAGGUUGUGAAAAAGGAGGCAAACUUUAUCUCUGUUCGAGGUUCAGCAGUUUGUUUACCUAGAAAAUGAAAAAUGAAGUACUGAGUAGACUGCUUCUGGUGCAUAAACACUUAUCCAGAGCAAUGCAUCACCAGGUCAGUCCUUAAGCCCGGUGGUGCUAGCUCUGCUAAGGUUAGCCACACCUGUGUUUUGGCUAACCAGUUUGACAUCAUUUACCUGAGAGUUUCUGAGUGUUUUCUUACCUUCAGAGUUGUUGUCGAGUUAAAAUUUAAAUUUCCAUCUAAACUUCUAGGAAAUGAGUCUCUUUGAAACAUCCCUAAUUAUAAAUACUAAUGAAUAAGUCAAAGUCUGGGGACUGAGUGAACAUUUCAGUUGGUUUACCAGCUGAGAGCCCAAAGUCCAACUAAGGUGAUAAUUUCAUCUUACGACCACAUUUCCUGAACCCUUGUGUAUCCAACAUUGGAAAUGAUUCUAUUGCUAUUUUUAGUCAUUACAUACAAUAUCUGGCUCAUAAUUCAUCUUUCUGAUAGUGUAAAUACUCUUUAUAAUGUCAUGAGCACACAUGAACUGCUGUGUUUCAAAAUCAUUAAAAUAAGGCCUGUUUUGGGGUGGAACAUGUUUAUCUACAUAAUAUAUGUAUUUUAAAACCCAUGGAUUUCAUCUCAAACACAGUUGUGAAAAUGUGGAUUUGCAGUAAAAUAAUUUUAGUGGUUUAUUAACUUUAAUGUAACAUCUUUGGCAUCCAGAAUUUAAAUUAUCACCUUUGUGGGCCUUGGGAGUCUGUGAACCAAACGGUUUCUGUUUUGCAGUCUGGCGUUCAGAUUUUAUUACAUUAUAUAUGUAAAUAUUUAUAUGUAUUAUUAUACAUCGAAGGCCCAAUUCAUGUUAACAAAAAUAUAUUCAGGAGCUUAAAGCA